Long non-coding RNA from Mandrillus leucophaeus (drill), 467 nucleotides. RefSeq lists it as uncharacterized. The transcript has 2 exons. The record is from RefSeq and is a predicted model, not a curated record. Lineage: Eukaryota; Metazoa; Chordata; Mammalia; Primates; Cercopithecidae.
UCAGAUGGAAUAAGUUCCACUGAGCUAUCCUCGAGGUCAUGGAUUCCAUCCUCUGUCACCUCCAUUUCAUCAAGAUGACAUAUUGAGCCCAUGAAAAGCCUUUUAUUUGAGAUUUCCAAGGCCAGCAAUGUUCUCUUCCUCUCCCUUUUCUUUGUAUAAAAAUUCAAGAAAAACUCUCAUGUCAAUUGUUUACAUGACACUAUGGCUAAGACACUAAAAGCCCUCUCCCUGCAAAACUAGUGGCAAAGUUCUCUAGAGAACUACAAACUGUCGCAUCCUUACUACGUGGGGCAGCAGCAAGCCCAGGUGAAGAUGUGCAUGUUCUUAGAGAAACUAUUAAUAACAUACUGACAUUUACACCUGUGUGAAUAAUUUCAUCAAAUCUCUUAACUCACACUUGCACAAACUUCACCUGGAGAAGAGAGAGGGAAAGUUGUAUAGGAAAAAAUAAAUGGGUAUUGAGGUCA